CUACGGGGUGCACCAGUGGGGGAUAUUGCACAAUGGAGGAAACUCUGAUGCAGCAACGCCGCGUGAGGGAAGAAGGUUUUCGGAUUGUAAACCUCUGUUUUUGGUGAAGAAAGAAAUGACGGUAGCCGAAGAGGAAGCCACGGCUAACUACGUACCAGCAGCCGCGGUAAUACGUAGGUGGCAAGCGUUGUCCGGAAUUACUGGGUGUAAAGGGUGCGCAGGCGGGACUGCAAGUUGGAUGUGAAAUACCGGGGCUCAACCCCGGAGCUGCAUCCAAAACUGUGGUUCUUGAGUGAAGUAGAGGUAAGCGGAAUUCCGAGUGUAGCGGUGAAAUGCGUAGAUAUUCGGAGGAACACCAGUGGCGAAGGCGGCUUACUGGGCUUUAACUGACGCUGAGGCACGAAAGCAUGGGGAGCAAACAGGAUUAGAUACCCCAGUAGUC
RNAcentral lists this ribosomal RNA (442 nucleotides) under uncultured bacterium. RNAcentral's name for it is "partial 16S ribosomal RNA". It matches the Rfam family "Bacterial small subunit ribosomal RNA", at positions 339 to 795 of the family's 1533-position model. The record is from RNAcentral.